UACGGGAGGCAGCAGUGGGGAAUAUUGGGCAAUGGGCGAAACCCUGACGCAGCAACGCCGCGUGAAGGAUGAAGGUUUUCGGAUUGUAAACUUCUUUUAUCAGGGACGAAACAUGACGGUACCUGAUGAAUAAGCUCCGGCUAACUACGUGCCAGCAGCCGCGGUAA
Molecule: ribosomal RNA, 167 nt
Filed under: uncultured rumen bacterium
Lineage: Bacteria
Description: partial 16S ribosomal RNA
Rfam family: Bacterial small subunit ribosomal RNA
Source: RNAcentral